UUGGGUAUUUUGAAGGUCAAUAUGGCAUAUUUUGAGGAUUUGUUAGGGACGUCUCAAGCUUCAAAAAGAGAUAUUUUGGGACCAAAUUAGAGUUGAUUUGGUCGGUUAAAAGUUUGAUUUUCUGAGAAGUCCGAAUUUCAGUUUAAAUAGGAAACCUUUUAUUUCCUAGUUAUCUUAUUCUAUUAUGUUUCCUAGUUUUUUGAAGACCUUUUCUAAGUAGAAUUUUAUUUUGUAAUAGUAUAAAUAAGGCUAUUUAGCCAUUAGGAGGGGGAUGAAUUUGGAGAGACGCAUUAACUUACGAGCUUUUGCCAAUUCAAGUUUAUUUUCAAGGUGUUUUUUAUUUAUGUUCUUAAUAAUAUUUUGUUUUAUAAUUAUUCGUAACUAGUUUCGUUUGCUAGGACGAGGUCACGAGCCUUAGCAACAAUAUGUAGUUUCUUUUCAAUUUACUUAUGAUGUUAUGCAUGCAGGUUUUGAAUUAUUAAUCAAUGUGUUUAUAUUAUCUAAUUGUCUUGAUGAUUGACCACCAUUUGGAUAUUUAGAAAAGUAAUAGGUAGGUGUUUAGCAUGUAAAUAGGUAGGUGUUUCCAAAGCCUAAAGUCGCAAGGAUUUCCAGUUCCAGUUGAACUCGGAGUUUGCUGUCUACCCAUCAUGACCGCACUCUAUACGGUCUCGCUGUUUGGCAGCUAGUAUAACAUUGACAAGACACUGGAUAGUAUUAGUAUUACGCAUUCAAUUUUGUAAAUUAGCAACAGGAUUAAAUUAGGGUUGGGUAAAUUGGCCACUGGAUUAGAUUAGGGUCGGCCCACGGGUUGGAUUGGGUCGGUUUUGGGCCAAAACUGAAACCAAACCAACCUAAUUGGUUGGGCCAAAUUUUUUUUGUCAAUUGGUACGUGACCGGGAACACGAUAUCUUUUAUGUAGUACGUCCAAUAUACCAAACCGGUGUCAUAAAUAUGGUACUUGGUCAGGGAGGUGCACUUAAGCAACAAAUAAUGAAACUUGUAGAAGCAUAUCAUGUAACAAGACAAACACCAAGUAACUAAAGUAACAUUUGUAAACUUCUCCUAAUUGAUAUCAACUCAUAACUGAGGUUUUAUGCUUAUUUCUCGUCGAGCACGGUUCAAUGAAUCCGUGACAACUUUCGGAAUAUUUUUUUAUUUUAUUUUUUAUGAUUUUAACGUAUUUUGGAACUUGUAUAGUAUUUUAUUCAGUACGUGCCAUGUGGCACCUUUGAGUCAUUUAAUACAAUUUUUCUUGAGUUUUUUCCCAUAAAAAACGAUGAACACCUAGCAAUGAGUCUAUAGCAACUUUAGGAAUAUUUAUUCUAUUCUAUUUUUCUAUUUUAUAUGAAUUUCUCAAAUUAUAUAUAUAUUUAGAGUGGUCAUAUUCAAGGUAUAAAACAUCAAUGAUAUCGGAAAUAUCGGUAGUCCAAAAACACGGAAAUUUCGAUGGAAAUAUUGGGAUAUUAUCGAUAUCGAUAAAAAUUGAAUAAAAACCACGGAAAUUGUAAGAAAAACUUGGAAAUUUUUAUUAAAAAUUUGCAGAAUGUUUAUUUAGUCAAUUAUCUAUUAGUUUAUCACAAAAAAUUGGAAGGAAACGCAUUGCAUGAUAAAUAUAACUGAUUUAAGUUAAUUAUAUAGCGACCUGGCAAACAUUGUGAGUGUAGAAAAUAUGUAGUAAUUAAUGAAAGAAGUUUAAACACACCAUAAUCAUUUAUAUAUAAUGAAUUAGUACAAUAUUUUACACUUUAUACAUUGCAUGGUAAUAUACAUGAGUGACUUAGCAAUGUCUAAAAUAUCGAUGAUAUCGGAAAUAUCGGUAGUCCAAAAACACGGAAAUUUCGAUGGAAAUAUCGGGAUAUUAUAAAUAUUUUAGACCAUGGUCAUAUUAUGUCACAUCCCAGUCUCGACUCUGCCGUAGCACGAUAUUGUCCGAUUUGAGCCCCGACCACGCCCUCACAAUUUUGUUUCUGAGAACUCACACGAGAACUUCCUAGUGGGUCACCCAUCCUGGGAUUGUUCUCGCCCGAACUCGCUUAACUUCAGAGUUCUGAUGGAAUCUGAAACCAGUGAGUUCCCAAAAGACCUCGUGCUAUAUGAAGGUGGGCAUGUACAUAUAAGACACAUCACCCCCUCUCCGUUGGUCGAUGUGGGAUGUUACAAUCCACCCCCCCUUAGGGGCCUGACGUCUUCGUCGGCACACUCGCACCACACGGCAUAGUGGCUCUGACACCAUUAUAUCACAUCCCAGUCUCGACUCCGCCGUAGCACGAUAUUGUCCGCUUUGGGCCCCGGUCAUGCCAUCACGGUUUUGUUUCUAGGAACUCACACGAGAACUUCCUAAUGGGUUACCCAUCUUGGGAUUGCUCUCGCCCGAACUCGCUUAAUUUCGGAGUUCUGAUGGAAUUUGAAGCCAGUGAGUUCCCAAAAGGUCUCGUGCUAUAUGGAGGUGGGCAUGUACAUAUAAGGCACAUCACCCUCUCUCCGUUGGUCGAUGUGGGAUGUUACAUAUUCCCACACCGGUGUCUUAUUUCCCCACCCACCAUUUAAUGAAAAUGUUAAUAACAUAUUUAUCAUUUUAAAACAAGAUUCUUAAACCCCUAUUUAAUUCAAUACUAAAAUUUUGAAAAAAAAAAACAAAAAAUAAUUUAAAAUAAUAAAUAAAUAAUGGUGGGUGGGGUGUGAUAUCUUUGGUGGAAAGAGGUUGGGAAAGAUGUGGGUUAGAAUCGACGGAAAUAUUGGAGGAAGAAAUGAGCGUGUGCUAGAUGAAGGCAAGAAACUUCAAUGGAGAAAAAAGAGAAUUGGGUGUGAGAUCUGCGGUUUUGACAAAAAAUGAGGAAGAAGAGUGGUUUGGGGAUCUGGGGUCUCUGCAGGGCGGUGUUAGGUGUGAAGGAGAUGAAAAAUGUCUAGGUUUUAGGUCUUGCAUUUUCUUUCAUUUUUUUUCUAUUUUUAUUUAUUUAUUUAUUUAUAAUAUUAUUUAAAGAUAUAUUAGAGUUAUUUAACAAAAUAUAUUAUGGUUAUUUUGAGAAUAAUGGUGGAUGGGGAAAUAACAUUUUACUUUUUUAAUUUUCUAUGAUGGGUGGGAUUAUCAUGUGGAUGGGAAAAUAAGACACUGGGGUGUGUCUAGUAGCACUCUAUUUUUAUUCUUCACCACCACGUGGUAAUUUCUUGGCCAUCACUAGGGUUUAUUUGAUAACAUGUCACAAGUGAUCAUUCAAAGCAAGAGUAUCAUAAAGUAUCACAAGACUUGCAUCUUUGUCAACCAUACAUAGACUAACAUAUACAGUUCUUAGGGGGCGUUUGUUGUACCGGACUGUCUCAGACUAGACUAGCUUUAGGGACUAAGCUGGACUGGCUUAGACUAGACUAAGCUGGACUAACUUAGUGAAAUAUUUGGUGCAGUGUCGGACUAAAAAGCAAACUAAUUAAUAAAUUAUAAUAUUAUAUUUAUAUCUAUCAAUAUUUUAUGUAUCUAUUAAUAUUUUAUCUAUUUUAUUUUUAAUUUAUUUUUUUCUUUUUGGAUUCUCUUCCUAUUUUCUGGAAACAUCCACCAUUUUUCCACCAUUCUCCCUCGUUUUCUCCGGCACACUGUCUCCCUCUCAUCCCUUUUUUUUCUCCCAUUUUUCUCCCUGUUUUCUUCUUCAAUGGAGGAAGCUGUGCAUUUUGCACCUAAUUUGGAUCAAAGACCAACAAGUCUUUCUUCUUGUUCCUCUAACCAGAGAUAGCUCUCUUUUUCACAAAAAUCCCAAAUCAAGGUAAUAGAUUUCUGGGUUUCUGGAGAAGAGCAUUGUGGAUUUCUAGAGGUCUUUCGUUUUUUGCCUACAGAUUUAUGGAGAAGUGCACAGCAACCCAAGGUAAUAGAUUUCUAGGUUUAUUGCAGAUUUUGAUAUUUUCUAUAUUUGGGAUUUAUAAGGUUUAAUCUUCGAAUUGAAGUGUUGUGUAUGGUGUGGAUUAAGCUUAUUGGAAGCUUAACUGAAUGAAUUCAUCUCUGAAGCAAGAUGGGGUUGGGUUCUCAGGACGGAAUGGGCAGAGCCGUUUCAGAUUUGAUGACUGGAGAAGAGGGCGGAAGGCAUGAUUUGGUAACUGGGUUCGCGGGAAGAAGAAGAUCCGGGAUGCAUGCUUGCAGACGACGUGGGCGCUAGAGACGAGAUUAGCAAUCCGCCAAUUUUCGGGGGGACCAGCUAAGAACAGCUAGUGAAGCUUUUAGUCGGUGCGAGUCCGACUUAGUCUCAUUAAAGGUAGUCUUUGUUUGCGCCAAACACGGGCUAGGACUCCUACCUAAGGCAGUCCAGUCCAGUGAGACUUAAAGAGGCCAAACAAACGUGCCCUUAAAUCUUUAAUAAAUUUCUUCUUCAUAAAAAAAAUAAAAAUAUAUACAGUUAUUAAAGGGAAAUUUUAUUUGAACUCAUGUAAUCUCUACACCCAACUUACUAUCUACACCCAUAUUAAUUUUUAUUAAAGAAUUAAUAUCUCUUUAUACCUAAGGUUAUUACCUAAACUAUCCUCCCAAACCCAGUUCAAAAUGUAAAAUUAUCUUUACACCCAUUUAUAGCAUUUCCCAUGACUGCAAAUGCAAGCUCCUUCAUGUUUCCAUGGUCGCCAUCCCCGACACAUGCACAUACACAUGGUCUCUCUAUCAUCACCAACACCAAGUAGUUACAGUAGUUGUGCAUCAAAUUCAAGCUGUUAAGUGUUUAAUGCUUCAGGGAUGUUCAGUCCACGGACGGAGUUUUCAAGAAAUGGAUGUAAUGGCGUGAAGAACAAGCAAGCAAGACCGAGAUAGCGGUCAAGAGGUCCAACAGUACCAAUGGUUGUUGGAGCAGUAAUGAUGAAGCUCAAGUGGGUGUUUCAGUUGGGGGAUGGAGCGGUUUUAUCUCGAAAUGGACUUGGGUACUUCCGGUGCGAGGUUUGCGCUGAUCGACAUGCAAAGGUCUAUUCAUGCUGAAUGAAAGAGAGAGUACCCUUUGUUUUGUUUUUUUUGUUUUUCUUGUUUUUUUUUUUUUGUUUUUUUUUUUUUUUUUGCUUUGAAAAGUUCCACAAACACCAACUUUUGAAUUAUGUGUUAUACGAUGCUUGAAGAAAUCUCACCUCAGCAGCCUCAAAGUGCACUGAAAGCUUGCAGUUGGAAACUAACAUUUUUUUUUUCACCUUGUCUGGUUGCAACUCCUUAUCAACAACUAAUGUUGCAUAGACGAUAGAAGCAAUUUCCUAGGACUAAAAAAAGCUUGUUUUUCUAUAUAAAAGUUAUAGUGUUUUAGUCGAAAUGAACGUAAAAUAAGCAAGGAGUCAUGGUGGGGUUUAAUUAUAGUGUGUGAGUUUAUUGAUAAAAUUUACAUCUAAAAUUUAAGUUGAGCGUAAAAAAAUGUUAUAUGAGUUUAAAUAAAAUUUUCCGUUAUUAAAUCUUUCCAGCUAUCAUCCGAGAAAUCUUAAAUAGUGUGAAAGUCAUGCAACAUGUCUAAAACCAUCCUAGAUCCUACCCAUUCUAAAUCACACGAGUUUUCAUCACAUCAUGGAACUUAGGUGAUGAAUGAAGGUCAGUAGAACGUUGGAAUUUGGCAUCAUCAUGAAAUUCAGGAGGUGCCGAUUUUUUAAUUAAUUUAGACAUAUGGGCGGAUUUUGAAUUUGAGAUUUUGUCGGGGUAGUCGUCGUCUUUUUGAAGAAGGAAGGGGAGAAAGAGGGAGAAAAAACGAGGAUGGGGUGAGUUUGUUUGAAGAAGCCGUUUAGAUAAAAAAUCACCGGCUUAAAAUAAUCAGCAACUAAGGUCUCACAUUAAAAAAUCAAUAAUAGCAUUAAGUUUCAUUGGGAUUAGACCUGAUAAUUUUCUACACGACUUGUUAACAUGACACGAAAAUAACGGGUUUCGAGUCAACACAAUAACUAAUCGAGUCAUUAUCGGGUCACCUGUCAAUAACCCAUUAAUAACGGGUUUACACACAAGAUAACCUUGGGUAAUCCGUUUCAAUCCGUUAAAAACAAUUAUUUUGAUAAUUUUAAAGUUAAACUAAUAAAAAAAGUUAUAAAAUACAAUGGUCAUAGUGUAGAUAUUUUAUAUUAAAUAUGUAUUAUUUAUUAUUCUAAAUAACUUUUAAAAAUUAAGUUUUAUUUAUUUAUUUUUAUUAUGAUUGUUCCUUAUUAUCAUAUUACUAUGAUACAUUUUACUUGAUAUGUUGUCUAAAUUAAAAAUUUUGUCACAAAAUACUGUCUAAAAAAUAUCAACACGACAAGUCAUCUUGUGAAAAUUCAAGACCAACCACGGGCAUAUACCUACUAAACCCUAUUUAAACUACCCUCGAUAUCAAUUAAAACUUUUUAAGUCUUUGAGUAAGAGAGAUUAUAUUCACAUAAUUCUUCCACACUCUUUUAAUUUUUAAUAUUUUUCUAUCAAGUGUUAGUGGUGUGUCCAAAAAGAUUAAAAAAAUCAAAAGGUGUGGGGGAAGUAAUUUAGUAUGUGUGAAUAUAAUCUCAAUUUUAAAGGGAACAGGAACUUCCCACUUCACCAAAUUGUUGUAUGAAUGAAGCAAACAGAUUAAAAAAAAAACAAUUAUAUUACUGGAUAGAAAAUCAAAAUUGGAGCUUUAUGUUAUGGAUUUGGAUCCCAUAUGGAUCACAUUCUACCUCUUCAUCGACAUCGUAUAUUGUGUGAACAUCAAUCAUUUUGAAUUCUUUUUAUUUAAAAUUAAAUACAAACAAUACCAAAUGAAAGUUGAUUGCAUGAUAAGCGAUGAACGGAUAAAAUGUGAAUAUUCCUAUGAUCCUCACAAAAAGAAUCCGAAAAUGGUCCUCAUCCUUAUUAUAUGGGUUCUAUUUGCUUAUCAGAGAGUUGCAUAACAACACAAGACCAAUUAACACAACAAAGCAAAAGAAAGGUUUAUUUGGGAGAAUUGGAUACACAUCGGGAAGAUUGAAACCAAAUGAACAAAAAUACAUAAAUCGAAUUUAUUGCCGAAAAAUACCGGAAGAUUGAAAGGUGGCGGUGUUACCAAUCUAGUGGUGAUGGUGGUGGUUUAGGACAACAACCAAAUGCCAGGAGGUGAUGGUGGUGGUCUUCGUGAAGGUUCAGGACACAUGGAUGCGCUUUGUUGCAAGAGGUUGGAUAGGAGGCGAAGGUGGUGGUGGUGGUGGUGGUGUGGUGUGGUGGUGGUGGUGGUGGUGGUGGUGGUGGUGGUGGUGGUGGUGGUUGUGGAGAAUGAUUUGGAUUUCGAAUUGGAAUUGGCACUAGAGUAGGUGGUCGCGAUUGGGUUUUCGAGAAUUCAAUUAAUUUUUGGAUGUUGGAGCAGAUUAGUAAUUUGGGUUGGAUUAACCUGAAUUCGUUCAUCCCCAACUCGAUUUCAAAUACAAUCGGGCGGGUUAGAAUAAGAAAAAAAUCCGCCCAAACCCAACCCAACCCAACCUCAACCUCAACCCGAUCAUUUUGAGUUGGGUUUGGUUGAUGUUUCGCCCGCCCAUAUCAACCCAAACCCAACCUGAUUUUGAGCUCGAAUUUGCUCAUGCACUUGGUACCCUUCCCACUUCAUAAUGUAUAAGCUAUAUAUAAGUUUUGGAAUGGCUAAACUUGAAGUUUAUUGUCGGUUUUCAUAUGGAUAAUGAAUGACAAAGUUACUUCUACAUUUUUCUUUUGCUUGAACAUGUUUCCCCCUCGCCCACAAAAAAAAAAAAAAAAAAAAAAAAAGCUUUACUAUGAUUAGGGGAGAGGAGAGGGGGGGGGAGAAUUCGAACUAAUUACAAUAAUUUAGGGUGAAGGGGAAGAAUUUCGAACCCGGAAUGUGUAAAUGAAAAUUUACCUAAUAUUAACGUUGUUCUGUUCAAAAUUUAAAAAUUGUGCGAAAUAAGGUGUUAUAAGGUUGAACUUGAUAAAAUUGGGCGAAUCUGAACCCGACCCGUAUAAACCCAAACCCAAUUAAAACCCGUACCCGACUAAAUCAGGAUGAACUCAAACCCAACCGAAGCCCAAAGUGAAAGUUGUUGGACUGAAAUUGAUUUAACCAUCCAACCCGCCCAACCAACCCGAGUUGCAACCCUACUAACACCUCCUUUGCUAGUUCCAGAUCAUAUGCAUCAAACAAGCCCCCAAAAGGGUACCCAGGGGCCCAUGUAAUUGGUGGUUCCAUUGGCAUGCUAAAUAUCUAGGCUCAAAAUAUAAGUAGCCCGGCCCACAAUUGAGGCCGACAAAAGCAAAGCAGCAAAGUCAAAGUAGUACAACUACUUAACCCUAAUUUCUCUCCUCUCUCUUUGAUAGCCGCCGCACUCCUCCCCUGCCUUAUUCACUACCAGUUCUUCCUCACUUAUUCACAGGCCCGGCCCAAGCACGCAAUGCCACUGCUACAAUCUGUAAAACUCCAACGCGCAAGACGAAAUUUAAAACACAUUCACAACAAGCCCACUUCAAUUAUUACAAUUUACAUUUUACAGUUGGUUAUUGGUUGUCAACAUCAUAUGACACUUAAGAUUGUAUGAAUAGCAUUACUCUUUAGAAUUUACUUAUUACAAUUUGAGGCACUGUACCUCACACACUUACUGCCUGCUCAGCUCCUCCUCCUCCUCCUCAGGAAAAACUCCAACUUGGUAUGGCUUUUUACUUAAUUUUUUUGCACUUAUAUUGAUAAUUUUAAUCUUUUUGGGAAUGGGUAUUCUAAUUUGUUGAAAUUUGUAUGGUAAUUUGUUCACGUUUGGUCUCUGGAAGAGGGACAGGGACGAGAUAGUAGAGAUAGAGCUAGUGAAUGGAUUGUUUAUCUUGUUUUAACGUUGAAAAUUUGUAUAAUAUUAGACAAUAUUAGGUUAUGGGUUUAGGGUUUAGACAGGAGUUGCAGCAAUCUCUUGCUCAAUGAACCAAAUUACAACAAUAGACAGGAGUGCAUACUUUUUUCAUAAAGCUAGGCCAAAUUAGUUAGGAAAUCACAAAAAUUAUUGAGAGCAGGUGAGUUGUGUUUGAGGGAAGAGUCACUCCCUGGGUUGUUGUGGAUUGCCUUUCUAUCCUUACUGGAUGAGAUUUGGAUAUCUAGUAUUGGUUUUUUCCUUUGUAAGCUUGAGCUGGAUUCCCAUAACAACCAAGAAAGCUGCCAACAUUAGUGAGCCAUUAUGGCCUAGUUAAUAUGGCAGUCCUCUUGUCUGGAGUCCCCUUUCUUCCUGGUUGGAUUCCACUAUUCUACUCUUGUACUUGCUUUUCCCCAAUUUUGUUGUGAUUUCAAAUGCUUAUAAAGAUCCAUUGUUCUGUUUGCUUUUCGAUAUUAACUGUUGCAAGCAAGAGUUGAUUUGUCUGUGCUGCGAAUACGAUGCAAGACUCAAUUGUUAUUCUUAUCGCCAUGCGGUUUUAUUUUAUUUUAUUGUUUUUAGUGCUGAAGAAGUCGCACUUGGUGCGAUGGUAAAUGUCUUCGCCCAUGAGCGGUAGGUCUCGGGUUCGAGACUUGGGAGCAGCCUCUCCAUAAAUGGGGGUAAGGCUAGCUGACAUUUACCUCUCCCAGACCCUGCGUAAAGCGGAAGCCUUGUGCACUGGGUACGACCUUUUUAUUGUUUUUAGUGCUGGAUUUGAAGCAAUGUCAGUUUUUCAGUGCAUAAUCAAGUUUCAGCCUGUAAAUGUUAUAGGUGGAGGAGCUAUGCAUCGCCAAAGUCGAGCCAUAUUUGGAGGUGGUGGUGAAGGGAUAGGGGGAAGAGAGGGGAGAGAGGUAGGUGCAGUAGGUGGCAGAAGUUGGGCGUGGAAGUUGUUUAGUUGGCCAGUCUUGUCCAUCGCAAUAUACAUAUUUUUCUUUUUCUUGAGUGUAGACUUUGUUGAUUUGAAUGAACGCCUUCCGAGUGAACACCCUACUAAGAAAUCAGUUAAGGCACUAUUCCUCAUGUCCGAAACAUUGACCGGUGUGGGGUACGGUGACAUUGUCCCCAACACUGAGCGGGCCAAGUUGUUAAUAUCCUUUUUUAUUUUCUUCGUCCGUUGGAUUUGGUGCAAAUCAGGAGGAGUUUUUUUGGUGUCUAUUUGUGAAGGUUUUCUCAAACGAUUUGGUUUUGUGGUGUGAGUGAGGACAUUUUCAGGGUAGUGAUGGCAAUAGCGGCACCUGCUGUGUGUGUGGGAGUAGGCUGUGUUGGGUUUCACUUGUUGGAGAAGCUGAGUUGGGAGGAUGCUUUGUAUUUGUCAGUUGUUUCUGCGACCACUGUUGGCUACGGUGAAAUUCCGGUAAAGACAGCAAGCACUAAGGUUUUUGCAAGCAUUUGGAUGUGUUUUUCCACAAUUAUCUUUAUCAAAUGUCAGACAUACCUAGUUGUUAGAAUUAUGAGAGCGUUUGGAAGAAAUUAAGGCUUUGACAUCCGUAGACUCUGACUCUUCUUCUGGGUGCUAGUGUUUUGUUAGGGAAGCAGUUUGUGUAGAUGGAAUCAGUCUAGUGCUUUCGAGUCGUUAUGUGUUAUGUUAUAUCGAGUUCUUCUCAUGUAAAGAAAUUCCAAAUCGCAUAUAGUUUUCAUUAUGGUUUGAGUAUUGUUUACUUCUUUUAGAAUAACUUGUUUUUAUUACAAAAUGUUGAAACCAAAUUUGCGAAAAUCAUAGUCCCACUGUGGGACCUCCACAUGAAAGAACUCGGUAAAAAGCCUUUACUCGAGGGAAAGUAAAACCACAUUGGAAAUAAAACAACGAGCAAGGAAAAUGACGCUUCCACACGCCCAGUAAAAACAUCCCAGUAAACAAACAAAUCCCCCUCCAUGCCAUGAACGCGUUGCAACACACCAAAUGGAAAUGUAAUUUUUAAUUCCAUCUUUUAUAUUUACUUUUUUAAAUACUGUAAAAUCAAAUAUUAAUUGAAUAGCAGGUCUUAUGGAAAACUUUAAAAAUCUUGAAUGAAUACAAUCGGAUUUUUAGACCAUCUCCAAAGGCUAAGUGGAAUGUCGCAUAAUCAAAUUUGAAUGUAGGAAAAAACUCUAACUGAUAUGUCAAUAUGAACCUCUUGUUGUCAAAUUUGACAUGUGAAAAAAAAUUGAUGUCAAUUAGUUUUCUUAUUAUUUUAUUGUGUGUGUUCUAUUAAUACACCAAUUACAAAUUUUAAAAUUUUUUUAAUUGAUUUUUUUUUAAAUGAAUCCUACAAAUAUCAAUUAUAACAAAAAAAAAUUUAGAGAAAGAAAAAAUAUGACAUUGUGUAGAAAAAUAAUUCAAGCUCAAGCACAAAAAAUCGAACAUACAACUCUGAUCAACUGGCCUAAUUCACAUCAGUCAAAAGCCUAUUUGUUUGGAUGAGAGCAAAUUUGAGUGGGUCUAGAGAUUGGGGUGCAAAGUCCACACUUCUCUAGCUCUUACAAAUUGGGUCAGUCCACUCAGCAACCCCUCUCUCUCUCUCUCUCUCUCUCUCCCCCUCUCUCAGACGAAAAUUCAAAUUCUAGCCCUUGCCAUGAGAGAUUAUUGGGACUUCCUACUUUUUUGUUCAAUCAAGGACCAUGUUUGGAACAAAGUUUACAAAGGGGAAGGCAAAUUGAUUUCUCAGGGCGGAAGAUAAGUGUUGACUGAAGCAACGUGGCAAGCUAUACCCUAUUAUACAAUGCUUUCAGUUACUACUUUUCAAGUAGAGAAACUUGAAGAAACUUAUGCACGUAAAGAAGUGGGUACUUCACUACUUCAACUGCAAUGUUAGAGGUCACUCGUAUGGAUGCUUUAUCUAUCAGUUUGAUAGGAUUAGCAAUUUAGCUGCAAAAACAUAAACAAUGUCUAAAAUGCACCUACCAAUAGUUAUAUAUAUAUAUAUAUAUAGAUUACAAUAUAAUACGCAGGUAAAUACAGCAGCUAGUAGAAAUUAGAAUCAUCAAUCUCAAUCAGGUCAGCAAUAACACCUAUGACCUCGAUAAAAACCUCGGCAUGCCCUUGACUGCCCCGCCGUCCCAUUCGGUGGGAAAAGAUCGCAAGAGAAGCGCGUCAGUUGGGAAGCAUCCAAUCCAAACAACGUAGUAUUAUACCUAAAAAAACCCAACAGCUUCAGCCACAGGCUCCCCGACCCAUAACAACUUGGGGAGGUGGAGGAAGAGGAGGAGGAGAUGAUUAUAUCGUUGGCCGUGUCGGUUCCGACGUACGACCUCGCCAUUACCACCGAGAAAUCAAGAGUAGUCUGGUUCAUCUUACUUACAUAGAUGGGAGGCAACGGCGCCGUUCCCAGCUUGAGAUUGCUGUCGCUUUCCUUGUCGUCGACGUCGCCGUAGAAGAUAUCGGCUUGAAGGUUCUCGUAAUAAAAGUCCAGCUUCCGGUUGGGAUUUAUAGCAACCAGCGUCAAGUCCCACGUGGCGGUUAAGUAGUCGCUGCUGGAUGUGGCGGUGAGUGGGCACGGCGACACGGCUACCAAGUCGACCCGGAACUCAGGGAAUUCAGGGCUGAGCUUCGCGUCACGCAAUAAAGUCCACGCCAAGGCUGUGGCGAGAAUGAUUGCCAAUAGCGCCACGAAGCAGAAGAAAACAAUUUUACAAAGCCGUCCGGCGGAGGAAGACUUUGCCAUUCCCAUUCGAUCAGUUAAUUCACUAUCCUAUAGCCUUAUUCUGCAGAAACGAUCAGACCAACCGAAGGAGAGAGAGAGGGAGAGAGAGAGAGAGAGAUGGGGAUGGGAUUAAAGCAGAGGGUGUUGAGCAUGUAAAUAGGUAGGUGUUUCCAAAGCCUAAAGUCGCAAGGGUUUCCAGUUCCAGUUGAACUCGGAGUUUACUGUUUACCCAACAUGACCACUCUAUUUUUAUAAACCUGUUUUGGACCAAUUUUAAAUAAUCUAGUCCUACCAAUUUUAAUACGCUUUAUACCCGUUUAUUUAUUCAUUCUAAAACGUUAAUAUAAUUAGUCAGGUUGCUCUCUCUGUCCUCUUGCGAUUCUAGCUAGGUAUCGUUCGCAAAUCUACUUUUCAUUGAUAUCGCACAAUCGUCUCAACUCGUGUAUUUAUCGAAUGUAACAAAAUAUUAACCCUUAAUUUUAGAAAUAUUUGUUUUUAUAAAAAAUUUCAAAUAUAUUCAAAAUCUUACUUAAAUAGACACUGAUGAAUCCAUAUUAUACCAUAUAUUUUACCCUAAUCUUAGUUAUAAUUUAUUAGUUUAUUUAGAUGAAUUUUGAUACUUUGUUAUGUAUUUUCAAUGUAGAACAUUCGACUUCUUCUGGAGCAAAAAGUGAUCAAAUAGAUAAAUUUUGGAGUGAUUCCAACUGAAGGAUGUUCGUGAGCCUUUCAAGAUAAUUGUAUCAAAGUUUCAUAUUUUUUUACCAAACCGUUUUACCGUGAUGAUGAAAUAAAGACCCAGCACGAAACGUUUAUGUACGUUUUGGGUAUUUUAAAGGUCAAUAUGACAUAUUUUGAGGAAGAUUCCUUCUGAGGAUUUGUCAGGGACGGCUCAAGCUUUAAAAAGAGAUAUUUUGGGACCAAAUCAGAGUUGAUUUGGUCGGUCAAAAGUCUAAUUUUCUGAGAAGUCCGAAUUUCAGUUUAAAUAGGAAACAUUUUAUUUCCUAGUUAUCUUAUUCUAUUAUAUUUCCCAGUUUUUGGAAGACAUUUUCUAAGUAGGAUUUUAUUUUGUAAUAGUAUAAAUAAGGCUAUUUAGCCAUUAGGAGGGGAUCAAUUUGGAGAGACGCAUUAACUUAGGAGCUUUUGCCAAUUCAAGUUUAUUUUCAAGGUGUUUUCUAUCUAUGUUCUUAAUAAUAUUUUGUUUUAUGAUUAUUCGUAACUAGUUUCGUUUGCUAGGGCGAGGUCACGAGCCUUAGCAAGAAUAUGUAGUUUCUUUUCAAUUUACUUAUGAUGUUAUGCAUGCAGGUUUUGAAUUAUUAAUCACCGUGUUUAUACUAUCUAAUUGUCCUGAUGAUUGGCCACCAUUUGGAUAUUUAGAAAUAUAAUUUGAUGCAAUUUUGACAG
This 13826-nucleotide long non-coding RNA is filed under the name Malus domestica (apple). RNAcentral's name for it is "long non-coding RNA (MDOM_LNC007911)". The record is from RNAcentral. Lineage: Eukaryota; Viridiplantae; Streptophyta; Magnoliopsida; Rosales; Rosaceae.